UCCUGGGUGGCUCAGUUGGUUAAGCAUCUGACUUUGGUUCAGGUCAUGAUCUCGCAGUACAUGGGUUCGAGCCCCAUGUCAGGCU
RNAcentral lists this transfer RNA (85 nucleotides) under Felis catus (domestic cat). It matches the Rfam family "tRNA". From Rfam's summary of the family: Transfer RNA (tRNA) molecules are approximately 80 nucleotides in length. Lineage: Eukaryota; Metazoa; Chordata; Mammalia; Carnivora; Felidae. The record is from Rfam by way of RNAcentral.